AGAGUAUAUAUAGGGGGGUUCAGGGCCUCUGGGGCAUACCACUGGGAGUCUUAGAAAUGGCUAGGGUGACCAGGAAAACUCAAACUCCACUGGCUUCUAGCACAGUCAUUCAACAAUCCACCUCAGGCACCAAAGGGAGAAAACAUACGAAGGCAACCUGUAAACCCAGAUCCAGGGAGAGUGGCAAGGUGCCCAAAACAACUACAAGGGUAGAAAGACAUCUUCGAAAGAAUUUAACAGGAAAAGCUUCUCCAAAACCUUCCACCUCUUCAAGAAAACUCAAGAAAGGUAAAAGAACAACACUGUUUGGACACUACCACAGGCUGAAAAAAGCGCUAAAGCACAAUGAGUCAGAGAGACGCCAAGAAAGGGGGGAAAAACCCACCACUUCAUGUGCUUAUCUGGGCAGCCAAUAACUCCAGAGCAAGGCCAGGGAUCUCAGACCUCCCUGCCAAGUCUCUGACGUUUGGCCCUUGAAAAUUGGCCAACUGUCUAGACAUCGAGUGUUACACCGAUGGGAUAAAACAUUCGUGAAAAUCAAAAUAAAACCAGCCUGUUACAAAAA
This is a long non-coding RNA of Canis lupus familiaris (dog), 565 nucleotides long. RefSeq lists it as uncharacterized. The record is from RefSeq and is a predicted model, not a curated record. NCBI's taxonomy places the organism in Eukaryota, Metazoa, Chordata, Mammalia, Carnivora, Canidae. The transcript is spliced from 2 exons.